CCAAUAGCGUAUAUUAAAGUUGUUGCAGUUAAAAAGCUCGUAGUUGAAUUUCGGGGUUAGCAGGUCGGUCGUGCCAUUGGUAUGAACUGGUCUCGCUGAUUCCUCCCUCUUGACGAACUGUGAUGCCAUUAAUUUGGUGUCGCAGGGAAUCAGGACUGUUACUUUGAAAAAAUUAGAGUGUUUAAAGCAGGCUUUAGCUU
RNAcentral lists this ribosomal RNA (200 nucleotides) under uncultured Glomus. Its description in RNAcentral is "partial small subunit ribosomal RNA". It matches the Rfam family "Eukaryotic small subunit ribosomal RNA", at positions 591 to 796 of the family's 1831-position model. The record is from RNAcentral. Lineage: Eukaryota; Fungi; Glomeromycota; Glomeromycetes; Glomerales; Glomeraceae.